Molecule: ribosomal RNA, 258 nt
Filed under: uncultured bacterium
Lineage: Bacteria
Description: partial 16S ribosomal RNA
Rfam family: Bacterial small subunit ribosomal RNA
Source: RNAcentral
GAUUAACGCUGGCGGCGUGCCUAACACAUGCAAGUCGAACGAGGUAGCAAUACCUAGUGGCAGACGGGUGAGUAACGCGUGGUCAACCUACCGUUGAGUGGGGGAGUAACUAGCCGAAGGUUAAGCUAAUACCGCAUACGUCUCCGAGGGGCGAUCCCUUGGCGAUAAAAGGAAGCAAUCCGCUCGAUGACGGGACCGCGUCCCAUUAGCUAGAUGGUGGGGUAACGGCCUACCAUGGCACCGAUGGGUAGCUGGUUU